CAGCGCCACAAGUGGGGAUCGCGAUUAUUGGGCCUAAAGCGUCCGUAGCCGGUUCUGUAAAUCCUUUGUGAAAUCGUUGGGCUUAACUCAACGGCGUGCAGAGGACACUGCGGAACUCGAGACCGGGAGGGGCCAGAGGUAUUCUGUGGGGAGCGGUAAAAUGCUAUAAUCCACAGCGGACCACCGAUGGCGAAGGCAUCUGGCCAGAACGGAUCUGACGGUCAGGGACGAAAGCUAGGGGAGCGAACCGGAUUAGAUACCCGAGUAGUCC
Molecule: ribosomal RNA, 271 nt
Filed under: uncultured archaeon
Lineage: Archaea
Description: partial 16S ribosomal RNA
Rfam family: Archaeal small subunit ribosomal RNA
Source: RNAcentral